This 374-nucleotide ribosomal RNA is filed under the name uncultured bacterium. Its description in RNAcentral is "bacterial SSU rRNA". It matches the Rfam family "Bacterial small subunit ribosomal RNA", at positions 523 to 897 of the family's 1533-position model. The record is from RNAcentral.
AUACGUAGGGUGCGAGCGUUAAUCGGAAUUACUGGGCGUAAAGCGUGCGCAGGCGGCUGUUUAAGUCUGAUGUGAAAGCCCCGGGCUUAACCUGGGAACUGCAUUCGAGACUGCUCGGCUAGAGUAUGGCAGAGGGUGGUAGAAUUCCACGUGUAGCAGUGAAAUGCGGAAGGAUGUGGAGGAAUACCGAUGGCGAAGGCAGCCCCCUGGGAUGAUACUGACGCUCAUGCACGAAAGCGUGGGGAGCAAACAGGAUUAGAUACCCUGGUAGUCCACGCCCUAAACGAUGUCAAUUAGCUGUUGGGGGUUUGAAUCCUUGGUAGCGUAGCUAACGCGUGAAAUUGACCGCCUGGGGAGUACGGCCGCAAGGUUAA